CUCGCCCAGAUGGAGGUGUAAACAGGAUGUGCAUGUUACCAUGGAGGUCACCUUAGCAACAACCAGCAACUGCAGUGGUAGAGAGGCGGCAGGAGGAGGAGGAGGAAGAGGAGGGCUCCCUGGAUACCACCGGCAACUAGGUCUCUGGAAUAAAGAUUCAAAGACAGACAAAAACGAUUAGAGAGGCCGUGAGGAUCCAGCAUCUGUGAGGGCAAGAGAUGUCGCCUCGUAGCCUGGGGAGCAGAGGUCCAGCAGGAAUAUGAGGAGUGCAUUAAAGUCCUUUCAUCCUGACUGGCACAGGGGCAGAGUCCUGCAACAUCUGUUCUGCAAUGUGGAAUGACCUGUGAAAACACUGUCACAUAUCAGUUCUAGGUAGGACUGCUGGGAACCCCCCACCUCACAGAUGAAGACACCGCAGUCUGACGAGG
Canis lupus familiaris (dog) is the source of this 428-nucleotide long non-coding RNA. RefSeq lists it as uncharacterized. The transcript is spliced from 3 exons. The record is from RefSeq and is a predicted model, not a curated record. NCBI's taxonomy places the organism in Eukaryota, Metazoa, Chordata, Mammalia, Carnivora, Canidae.